This 51-nucleotide small nucleolar RNA is filed under the name Brugia malayi. Its description in RNAcentral is "RNA transcript Bm16886". Lineage: Eukaryota; Metazoa; Nematoda; Chromadorea; Rhabditida; Onchocercidae. The record is from RNAcentral.
AAUUCUGUUAUCUUCAGCACCUGAGCAGAAGCAAAAUUGAUUGCAAAAUAU